UGGUGAUGAGGCUGGCAAGAACGACUGCGGAGCUUGGGGGUUGUCUCUUUCGUCCAAAUGGCCCCCGCGGAGACCCGUACCUACAGUCUCUCUUCCAACCGGAUCCCGUUAUCAAGCCGAAUCACACACCGGAAUGUCCCUGAGGUGGUAAACUAGAGAGGCGAAGACUUUUUCUUUUUCCCCAAAAUGGCCUUUCUGCUUCAACGUGGGGAGAGAAGCUGCCAAUCCAGAAGGCGGAGGUAGCGCCUGGGAAGGGCGCUUCCCACUCCCGGAGCGCCGGGUUACACAACAGAGACAGAACCCCAGGAGAAGGAGAAAACAUGCCUGGGAAGUGCUAUCAGACACAAACCCUUGAGGGCUGCAGCUCUGACCCUUCCCCUCAAUAUACCACAGGGAUUUUCCUGCCGGCCCCAACCCGACGUCUCCACAUCCAGAGCCGACUGUGAGGAGGCCAUGGAUAUAUGUUUCUAUAUGAGAAAACUGAGGCACAGCUCAGGAACCCAACCAUAUAGUUAGUGUGCGUGGGGUCCUCUGCAUGCCUCCUUACCAUCACUGGUAAUCCAAGGCAUUGAAAAACCUUCGCUGGUCCACGAGAGCAAGGCCAUCUGCCAGGAAGCCCUGACACUUUUGUUCCAUAACCAUCUGCCCACCUGUUGUGUGAUGGUUUCAUCUACGACUGAAACAUUCCAUUCUGCUGGGAAGCUCCUUAAGCAGGAAAGUAAACAACUUUAAAGCAGUUUUAGGAAGUCCCAGAAACUGACCAGCUUCGCCAGACCUCACCGUGCCAGAGUCAACAGCAAGAGCUGAGAGUUCCCUCAGAUGGAAGGAAGCUGAGCUGCAAAGAAGACUCGGACCAGCCCAGCCAGAAGCACACAGCAACUGCCUAGAAGAGGUUUAGACCAGAGACAGUUGGAAAGGAUGCUCCCAACAUUUUGAGCUACUUGAAGGCUGUGCAGUGUGCUCCAAGUUCCCAGCCUUGUGAGCAGUCAAUCCUGAUGGGCUGGGCCUUGGUGAUGCAGCUGUCUUUCGGUCAUUUCUGCUCCUGCUGCUCAGUGCAAUCGCACACACAUAAUCUGAUGCUGACAUGAGAGACCAACACACGUGACUCAUUCUAAUGGAGGGAAAGUGAGAGAGAGUGGGACAGGAAGCAACAGUCAGUGAAAGCUGUAAAGGGUCUGUUGGUUUGAGCAGGCCCACGCUCAUUCGGAGCUGAUGUCAUGGAGCUGAAGCCCUGAUGGAAGUCUCCCUGCAUCCCAAAGCCACAGACAGCAUGCUGUAAGACAAUGCUCACAUGCCAUAAGGCACUCUUGUCACAUUAUCUGAAUAAAGGUACAUUAUUCUUGU
Psammomys obesus (fat sand rat) is the source of this 1344-nucleotide long non-coding RNA. RefSeq lists it as uncharacterized. The record is from RefSeq and is a predicted model, not a curated record. Lineage: Eukaryota; Metazoa; Chordata; Mammalia; Rodentia; Muridae. The transcript has 4 exons.